GUCAUCUGGUAACACUAGUCAUCUGGUAUCAUCUGGUAACACUAGUCACCUGUAGUCAUCUGGUAACACUAGUCAUCUGGUAACACUAGUCAUCUGGUAACACUAGUCAUCUGGUAACACUAGUCAUCUGGUAACACUAGUCAUCUGGUAACACUAGUCAUCUGUAGUCAUCUGGUCAUAACACUAGUCAUCUGGUAACACUAGUCAUCUGGUAACACUAGUCAUCUGGUAACACUAUCAUCUGAUAACGCUAGUCAUUUG
This is a long non-coding RNA of Haliotis rubra (blacklip abalone), 261 nucleotides long. RefSeq lists it as uncharacterized. The record is from RefSeq and is a predicted model, not a curated record. NCBI's taxonomy places the organism in Eukaryota, Metazoa, Mollusca, Gastropoda, Lepetellida, Haliotidae. The transcript is spliced from 3 exons.